This 254-nucleotide ribosomal RNA is filed under the name uncultured bacterium. Its description in RNAcentral is "partial 16S ribosomal RNA". It matches the Rfam family "Bacterial small subunit ribosomal RNA", at positions 524 to 776 of the family's 1533-position model. The record is from RNAcentral.
UACGUAGGGUGCAAGCGUUAUCCGGAAUUAUUGGGCGUAAAGAGCUCGUAGGCGGUCUGUCGCGUCUGCUGUGAAAUCCCGAGGCUCAACCUCGGGCUUGCAGUGGGUACGGGCAGGCUAGAGUGCGGGUAGGGGAGAAUGGAACUCCUGGUGUAGCGGUGGAAUGCGCAGAUAUCAGGAAGAACACCGAUGGCGAAGGCAGUUCUCUGGGCCGUAACUGACGCUGAGGAGCGAAAGCGUGGGGAGCGAACAGG